CGUGUAGGUGGUUUGGUAAGUUGGAUGUGAAAGCCCAUGGCUUAACCAUGGAAGUGCAUUCAAAACUGCCAGACUAGAGUCCAUGAGAGGGAAGUGGAAUUCUUAGUGUAGGAGUGAAAUCCGUAGAUAUUAAGAGGAACACCCGUAGCGAAAGCGACUUCCUGGCAUGGUACUGACACUGAGACGCGAAAGCGUGGGGAGCAAACA
RNAcentral lists this ribosomal RNA (207 nucleotides) under uncultured bacterium. RNAcentral describes it as "partial 16S ribosomal RNA". It matches the Rfam family "Bacterial small subunit ribosomal RNA", at positions 568 to 774 of the family's 1533-position model. The record is from RNAcentral.